RNAcentral lists this unclassified non-coding RNA (388 nucleotides) under Hevea brasiliensis (rubber tree). The record is from RNAcentral. Lineage: Eukaryota; Viridiplantae; Streptophyta; Magnoliopsida; Malpighiales; Euphorbiaceae.
UGUCGAGUGCUUCCUGGUGUGAGGUUCUGUGGGUGGUCCCUCUAUUAGGUAGUCUAGCUCUAUUUAUCAGGCCAGCUAUUUAAAGACGUCUAGGGCAGGAACAAGUUAAUAGCUAGGUCUGGGUUGCUAAAGGGUAGGUCAGUAUUUACUUUCUUGUGUGCAUGUUAGCCACAUAACUUAAUGAUACAAAAGUCUUUUUAGUAAGCUGGACCGUUUGUACCUUAGUUUUUGAAAUUCAUUAUAGAGAUGACUUACUUAGGAAAAUGGCUGCAUCUGUAUCUCCCCUUCCUUUUGUAGUUGGCAAUUUAAUAAACUGCGAUAAAUGCUUCAGAUAGUGUCAAGUUUCCCUGUGUCACAGUAUAGUUAAGCAGAACAUGGUAAAAGGGAG